AUUAACAAUGAAAGAGAGAUAAGAACCGGUUCUUGGACUGAAAAUAUUAAUAGAACCGGACUGAAAGGACUGCAGUCUUUUUAGACCAAUCCAAAACUAGUGUUCGUAUGCUAUAUUUUUGUAAAUAUAAUUACAAAUUGUUAUUUUCCACCCUAUGUAGUAUUCCGUACAAUUACUGUUACAUCACUUAUGUUCGUGUAUUUAGUGUUUGUUUAGUGGAUUAUUUAUUUUAAUAAAAUCAGUGUUAGUUCGAGAUUCUUACUUGCAUGUUGCCCCAGUUAUAUUUAUUUAAUCGUAUAGAAAACCCUAUUUUAUACAUUUACUAAUAUAUGAUUGAAUUAUAAGGUAACUAAAACUAAAAGAGCAUGUGUUGUGACUACUUGUAAAACCCAAGAUGUGUCUCAUAUCGCCGAUUUCCCAAAUAUCUUGCAAGAGGGGAAGGUUGGAUUUUGGCUUGUCGAAGAAAAAAAAAUUCAAUACUGAUGAAACCAGAGUUUUCGCUCAUCAUUUUGAUCCUUUGUGUUUCGUAUAUAAGAUACCUGAAGCACAUAAUAAUAGAGUCUACUGGAAAGAAAAAAAAACCUUCAAAAAAGAUAUCCUAAAUAAAUUAGGAUAGUAUAUAAUAUUUAUAUAGUAUAAAUAAUAACGUGUACAACCUAAUUGUUAUAACAUUGCUAUUGAUAUAUUUCUCAUGUAAGAAACAUACUUUUUUUUAUAAGAGGACACCAAUGAAUAAUUCAAGAUUUA
Molecule: long non-coding RNA, 747 nt
Filed under: Lepeophtheirus salmonis (salmon louse)
Lineage: Eukaryota; Metazoa; Arthropoda; Copepoda; Siphonostomatoida; Caligidae
Description: uncharacterized LOC121119759
Source: RNAcentral